RNAcentral lists this ribosomal RNA (499 nucleotides) under uncultured Glomeromycotina. Its description in RNAcentral is "partial small subunit ribosomal RNA". It matches the Rfam family "Eukaryotic small subunit ribosomal RNA", at positions 591 to 1092 of the family's 1831-position model. Lineage: Eukaryota; Fungi; Glomeromycota. The record is from RNAcentral.
CCAAUAGCGUAUAUUAAAGUUGUUGCAGUUAAAAAGCUCGUAGUUGAAUUUCGGGAUCAGUACGCCGGUCGUGCCUUCGGUAUGCACUGGUGUCACUGGUUCCUCCCUUCUGAAGAACCGUCAUGCCAUUCACUUGGUGUGGCGGGAAAUCAGGACUGUUACUUUGAAAAAAUUAGAGUGUUUAAAGCAGGCUCACGCUUGAAUACAUUAGCAUGGAAUAAUGAAAUAGGACGUUGAUCUUAUUUUGUUGGUUUCUAGGAUUGACGUAAUGAUUAAUAGGGAUAGUUGGGGGCAUUAGUAUUCAAUUGUCAGAGGUGAAAUUCUUGGAUUUAUUGAAGACUAACUACUGCGAAAGCAUUUGCCAAGGAUGUUUUCAUUAAUCAAGAACGAAAGUUAGGGGAUCGAAGACGAUCAGAUACCGUCGUAGUCUUAACCAUAAACUAUGCCGACUAGGGAUCGGAUGAUGUUAAUUUUUUAAUGACUCAUUCGGCGCCUUACG